This 388-nucleotide ribosomal RNA is filed under the name uncultured bacterium. Its description in RNAcentral is "bacterial SSU rRNA". It matches the Rfam family "Bacterial small subunit ribosomal RNA", at positions 28 to 417 of the family's 1533-position model. The record is from RNAcentral.
GACGAACGCUGGCGGCGUGCUUAACACAUGCAAGUCGAGCGGUAAGGCCCUUUCGGGGGUACACGAGCGGCGAACGGGUGAGUAACACGUGGGUGACCUGCCCUUAGCUCUGGGAUAAGCCUGGGAAACUGGGUCUAAUACCGGAUAUGACUCCAUGACGCAUGUUGUGGGGUGGAAAGCCUUGUGCGGCUAGGGAUGGGCCCGCGGCCUAUCAGCUUGUUGGUGGGGUGAUGGCCUACCAAGGCGACGACGGGUAGCCGGCCUGAGAGGGCGACCGGCCACACCGGGACUGAGACACGGCCCAGACUCCUACGGGAGGCAGCAGUGGGGAAUCUUGCGCAAUGGGCGAAAGCCUGACGCAGCGACGCCGCGUGAGGGAUGACGGCCU